This 491-nucleotide long non-coding RNA is filed under the name Citrus maxima (pomelo). Its description in RNAcentral is "long non-coding RNA (CMAX_LNC000988)". Lineage: Eukaryota; Viridiplantae; Streptophyta; Magnoliopsida; Sapindales; Rutaceae. The record is from RNAcentral.
GAACAUAUUUGAAAAACAUUAGAAACAUCAAACGCGCUGAGAAAUCAUUCAAAACAUAGUUGACUCAAAUAAGGAGGGAAUCGCGAUUCAAUAUAUUUAUAUUCUAAAACUAACCUUAAACUUGCACAUGCAUGGUAUGUGGGGUGCAAAUGUGAACAUAAAAUGACAUGACUUUCAUAAUUGAUUAUAGUUUAAUCUCUUCUCAUUAUGAUAAUAAUGAUAAGAAAUCCAGAGAGACACCAUCCCAAAUACUAUAGAGCUAGAAAUUGAAGAAAAAGAAGCUGGCAAAACCCUAAUCAAUCAAAUUCAUGCAUUACGAAGGUAACCGUAAAGUGAAGCUUAUGCAUAUGCACUUGUAUUACAUAUAUAAACACAAGUUGCUUGGAGUUUUCUUGCAAAGAUAUUUUAUAAAACCCCACAAACAGCAUUGUCGGUGGAUACGCAAAUCUUUUUGGACGGUCGAGAUCGCAUCACGAUGUCCUUGAUCAAGC